This 76-nucleotide transfer RNA is filed under the name Rickettsiales bacterium. RNAcentral's name for it is "tRNA-His". It matches the Rfam family "tRNA". From Rfam's summary of the family: Transfer RNA (tRNA) molecules are approximately 80 nucleotides in length. Their secondary structure includes four short double-helical elements and three loops (D, anti-codon, and T loops). Further hydrogen bonds mediate the characteristic L-shaped molecular structure. tRNAs have two regions of fundamental functional importance: the anti-codon, which is responsible for specific mRNA codon recognition, and the 3' end, to which the tRNAs corresponding amino acid is attached (by aminoacyl-tRNA synthetases). tRNAs cope with the degeneracy of the genetic code in two manners: having more than one tRNA (with a specific anti-codon) for a particular amino acid; and 'wobble' base-pairing, i.e. permitting non-standard base-pairing at the 3rd anti-codon position. Lineage: Bacteria; Pseudomonadati; Pseudomonadota; Alphaproteobacteria; Rickettsiales. The record is from RNAcentral.
GCGGAAGUAGCUCAGUUGGUAGAGCACCAGUUUGUGGCUCUGGUGGUCGCCGGUUCGAUCCCGGUCUUUCGCCCCA